GCCCGGGUGGUGAAAUCGGUAGACACAAGGGAUUUAAAAUCCCUCGGGGGUAACCCCGUGCCGGUUCAAGUCCGGCCCCGGGCA
This is a non-coding RNA of Danionella cerebrum, 84 nucleotides long. Lineage: Eukaryota; Metazoa; Chordata; Actinopteri; Cypriniformes; Danionidae. The record is from the annotation of a GenBank genome assembly.